Molecule: long non-coding RNA, 331 nt
Organism: Bufo bufo (common toad)
Lineage: Eukaryota; Metazoa; Chordata; Amphibia; Anura; Bufonidae
Exons: 5
Source: RefSeq, a predicted model, not a curated record
UAUCUAAGCCUAUGGUGUGCGAUACAGUCUGAUGAGGUGGAUAUCUAAGCCUAUGGUGUGUGAUACAGUCUGAUGAGGCGGAGUAUCUAAGCCUAUGGUGUGUGAUACAGUCUGAUGAGGCGGAUAUCUAAGCCUAUGGUGUGUGAUACAGUCUGAUGAGGCGGAUAUCUAAGCCUAUGGUGUGUGAUACAGUCUGAUGAGGCGGAGUAUCUAAGCCUAUGGUGUGCGAUACAGUCUGAUGAGGCGGAGUAUCUAAGCCUAUGGUGUGUGAUACAGUCUGAUGAGGCGGAUAUCUAAGCCUAUGGUGUGUGAUACAGUCUGAUGAGGCGGA